GGGUGAGUAAUGUCUGGGAAACUGCCCGAUGGAGGGGGAUAACUACUGGAAACGGUAGCUAAUACCGCAUAACGUCGCAAGACCAAAGAGGGGGACCUUCGGGCCUCUUGCCAUCGGAUGUGCCCAGAUGGGAUUAGCUAGUAGGUGGGGUAACGGCUCACCUAGGCGACGAUCCCUAGCUGGUCUGAGAGGAUGACCAGCCACACUGGAACUGAGACACGGUCCAGACUCCUACGGGAGGCAGCAGUGGGGAAUAUUGCACAAUGGGCGCAAGCCUGAUGCAGCCAUGCCGCGUGUAUGAAGAAGGCCUUCGGGUUGUAAAGU
This 324-nucleotide ribosomal RNA is filed under the name Citrobacter freundii. RNAcentral describes it as "bacterial SSU rRNA". It matches the Rfam family "Bacterial small subunit ribosomal RNA", at positions 104 to 431 of the family's 1533-position model. Lineage: Bacteria; Pseudomonadati; Pseudomonadota; Gammaproteobacteria; Enterobacterales; Enterobacteriaceae. The record is from RNAcentral.